UCACCAGACUCCUACGGGAGGCAGCAGUGGGGAAUAUUGCACAAUGGGGGAAACCCUGAUGCAGCGACGCCGCGUGAGUGAAGAAGUAAUUCGUUAUGUAAAGCUCUAUCAGCAGGGAAGAAAAUGACGGUACCUGAGUAAGAAGCCCCGGCUAACUACGUGCCAGCAGCCGCGGUAAUACGUAGGGGGCAAGCGUUAUCCGGAUUUACUGGGUGUAAAGGGAGCGUAGACGGCUGUGCAAGUCUGAAGUGAAAGCCCAGGGCUCAACCCUGGGACUGCUUUGGAAACUGUGGAGCUAGAGUGCUGGAGAGGUAAGUGGAAUUCCUAGUGUAGCGGUGAAAUGCGUAGAUAUUAGGAGGAACACCAGUGGCGAAGGCGGCCUGCUGGACGAUGACUGACGUUGAGGCUCGAAAGCGUGGGGAGCAAACAGGAUUAGAUACCCGGGUAC
Molecule: ribosomal RNA, 448 nt
Filed under: uncultured bacterium
Lineage: Bacteria
Description: bacterial SSU rRNA
Rfam family: Bacterial small subunit ribosomal RNA
Source: RNAcentral